Molecule: long non-coding RNA, 934 nt
Organism: Myodes glareolus (Bank vole)
Lineage: Eukaryota; Metazoa; Chordata; Mammalia; Rodentia; Cricetidae
Source: RefSeq, a predicted model, not a curated record
UAUUAGAAAACUUCUUUUUUCUCCAAAAUUUCACUGUGCCUAAAUGUCUAAAGUAAAAUGAUCUGGAUAUAGAAAUCUAGAAGCCCAGGCCCAAUACCAGUUACCAAAAUCUGGCUAAUCUGAAUUUGUUCCAACCUCACCUGGAUAUUUUCCCGGCCUGCUGUAAAGCCACAGGGACCUUCUCACAAAAAGACAGAGCUGGGAUCUCAUGUAAGGCAAGAUGGCCGCAAGCUCAUCAUAUUUUCCUGAGGAUGACCUUGAGGCACUCCUUGGGGACACACAGGCCUCUCCUGUCAGAGAAGCAGAUAAUGGCUCAGCAGAGUAAAGCCAUGUGGGAUAUCCUAUCACAGAGAGAAUAAGCACAGUCAGAAAAACACCAUGCAGCUGCCAAGGAGAAAGAUGCCUGCCAGAACCUUACUGAUGGGAACUUUUACGUACCUGCUACAACCACUUUGCCUCCUACAAUACUAUGUCUCCUAGCAAUGAUGGCCUCACAUCUUUUGGAAUGAAUAAAAAAAUGCUAAAGUUGGAGUAUAUGUGCAAAGUCAAGGAGCUUUUUGAGAUCAUCUGUAGUCUCUCUGUUGUUAAGGAUUGAGGUGAUAGUUAGCAGAGAGAUGACAUCGAGGAUCCUGCACUGUGAACCUGCUUAGUGGAUUCCGUGGACGGUGUUCUCCAGGUAUCCUUGACCCUCCUGGCUUCUUCAAUUCUCCAACUUCUUCUUCUCUUGUUUAUGAAAAAAAACUCUUAAAUUGAUAAACAUGUGCCUAAAUACUCAUAUGACAUUGUUAAAAAAUUGAUUUCCCCCUUCCAACCAUUGUUGUAUUCCACACUGUGUGGUAGUCUCAUCUACCGGAAGUGUAUUUCUUCUCUUCUAGAUAAGGUUUAAAAUAUUUUAAUUUAAUUAAUUUUGACUGACAUUAAUAUUAAUCACAUA